RNAcentral lists this transfer RNA (74 nucleotides) under Candidatus Yanofskybacteria bacterium RIFCSPHIGHO2_02_FULL_39_10. Its description in RNAcentral is "tRNA-Ala". It matches the Rfam family "tRNA". Rfam says of the family: Transfer RNA (tRNA) molecules are approximately 80 nucleotides in length. Their secondary structure includes four short double-helical elements and three loops (D, anti-codon, and T loops). The record is from RNAcentral. Lineage: Bacteria; Candidatus Yanofskyibacteriota.
GGGCCUGUAGUAUAGCGGUAACACGUGACUAUGGCAUAGUCAAGUCCGGGGUCCGACUCCCCGCAGGUCCACCA